Molecule: long non-coding RNA, 470 nt
Organism: Gavialis gangeticus (Gharial)
Lineage: Eukaryota; Metazoa; Chordata; Crocodylia; Gavialidae
Exons: 3
Source: RefSeq, a predicted model, not a curated record
ACCCCACCCUGUGUUUAUGUACAUGGAUCCCAGUGAGCUGCAUCCAGGACCCAAGUCCAAAACCUCUCCUAAGCCAGCCUACGAGAACACUAGUGAUCUGUACCUUGUACCAGAAGAUGAAAAGGAACACAUUUAUGAAGAAGUGAAGUGACAGCAAACUUGACAGACUGAACAAAGCGUUGUGUUGCAGAAAAGCCUUUGGCAGAGAGUCUGAAAGCAGUCCCUCCAGAUGGUACAGAAUAGAAAGCUCUUGGGCCUAGAAAUUAAAGUAAGGGUGUCUUUGAAUUCCUUCUUACACUCCCCACCAAAAUGUCCAAGCCCUGGGGACAGAUGUCAGCAUCUCUUCCACAGCAUUCAGAAGGUUUGUGUGAAAGUAGCCAAGGUAGGUAGCCUGAGAAAUGGCUUCUGAUUUCCCAAGUGGAGAUUAAACCAGGCAAAACUGCUAGAGCAGAGGUGGGCAAAACGGCCAA